GUUGUAUAGUCAAGUAAUUAAGUGCAUGUGGUGGAUGCCUUGGCAGUCAGAGGCGAUGAAAGACGUGAUAGCCUGCGAAAAGCUCCGGGGAGGCGGCAAAUAUCCUUUGAUCCGGAGAUGUCUGAAUGGGGGAACCCACCUACUUUAAGGUAGGUAUUGCAACAUGAAUACAUAGUGUUGCAAGGCGAACGAGGGGAAGUGAAACAUCUCAGUACCCUUAGGAAAAGAAAUCAAUUGAGAUUCCCUCAGUAGCGGCGAGCGAACGGGGAUCAGCCCAUUAAGUUAUGUGUGUUUUAGUGGAACGCUCUGGGAAGUGCGAACGUAGAGGGUGAUAUUCCCGUACACGAAAGGGCACACAUAAUGAUGACGAGUAGGGCGAGGCACGUGAAACCUUGUCUGAAUAUGGGGGGACCAUCCUCCAAGGCUAAAUACUCCUGACUGACCGAUAGUGAACCAGUACCGUGAGGGAAAGGCGAAAAGAACCCCUGUGAGGGGAGUGAAAUAGAUCCUGAAACCGCAUGCAUACAAGCAGUGGGAGCACCUUCGUGGUGUGACUGCGUACCUUUUGUAUAAUGGGUCAGCGACUUAUAUUCAGUAGCGAGGUUAACCGUAUAGGGGAGCCGUAGAGAAAUCGAGUCUUAAUAGGGCGUUUAGUUGCUGGGUAUAGACCCGAAACCAGGCGAUCUAUCCAUGAGCAGGUUGAAGGUUGGGUAACACUAACUGGAGGACCGAACCCACUGUCGUUGAAAAGCCAGGGGAUGACUUGUGGAUAGGGGUGAAAGGCUAAUCAAGCCUGGUGAUAGCUGGUUCUCCCCGAAAGCUAUUUAGGUAGCGCCUCGGACGAAUACCAUAGGGGGUAGAGCACUGUUUCGGCUAGGGGGUCAUCCCGACUUACCAAACCGAUGCAAACUCCGAAUACCUAUGAGUACUAUCCGGGAGACAGACUGCGGGUGCUAACGUCCGUAGUCAAGAGGAAAACAAUCCAGACCGCCAGCUAAGGCCCCAAAAUCAUAGUUAAGUGGGAAACGAUGUGGGAAGGCAUAGACAGCUAGGAGGUUGGCUUAGAAGCAGCCACCCUUUAAAGAAAGCGUAAUAGCUCACUAGUCGAGUCGGCCUGCGCGGAAGAUGUAACGGGGCUAAAACUAUGUGCCGAAGCUGCGGAUGUAUACUUUGUAUACGUGGUAGGGGAGCGUUCUGUAAGCCGAUGAAGGUGUGUUGAGAAGCAUGCUGGAGGUAUCAGAAGUGCGAAUGCUGACGUGAGUAACGACAAAACGGGUGAAAAACCCGUUCGCCGAAAGACCAAGGGUUCCAGUCCAACGUUAAUCGGGGCUGGGUGAGUCGACCCCUAAGGCGAGGCCGAAAGGCGUAGUCGAUGGGAAAAUGGUUAAUAUUCCAUUACUUCUGUGUAAUGCGAUGAGAGGACGGAGAAGGCUAAAUCAGCCUGGCGUUGGUUGUCCAGGUGAAAGGAUGUAGGCAUGUAUCUUAGGCAAAUCCGGGGUACUCUAUGCUGAGAUCUGAUAGCAAGCUGUACUUGUACAGCGAAGUGGUUGAUGCCAUGCUUCCAGGAAAAGUCUCUAAGCUUCAGUUACACAGGAAUCGUACCCGAAACCGACACAGGUGGUCAGGUCGAGUAGACCAAGGCGCUUGAGAGAACUCUGCUGAAGGAACUAGGCAAAAUGGUACCGUAACUUCGGGAGAAGGUACGCUGUUGUUGGUGAUGGAACUCGCUUCCUGAGCUGACGACAGCCGCAGAAACCAGGCCGCUGCAACUGUUUAUUAAAAACAUAGCACUCUGCAAACACGAAAGUGGACGUAUAGGGUGUGAUGCCUGCCCGGUGCUGGAAGGUUAAUUGAUGGGGUUAGCGUAAGCGAAGCUCUUGAUCGAAGCCCCAGUAAACGGCGGCCGUAACUAUAACGGUCCUAAGGUAGCGAAAUUCCUUGUCGGGUAAGUUCCGACCUGCACGAAUGGCAUAAUGAUGGCGGCGCUGUCUCCAGCAGAGGCUCAGUGAAAUCGAAAUCGCUGUGAAGAUGCAGUGUACCCGCGGCUAGACGGAAAGACCCCGUGAACCUUUACUGCAGCUUGACACUGAACUUUGACCUUACUUGUGUAGGAUAGGUGGGAGGCUUUGAAGCUGGAACGCUAGUUCCAGUGGAGCCGUCCUUGAAAUACCACCCUGGUAAUGUUGAGGUUCUAACUCUGUCCCGUGAUCCGGGACGAGGACCGUGUCUGGUGGGUAGUUUGACUGGGGCGGUCUCCUCCUAAAGAGUAACGGAGGAGUAC
RNAcentral lists this ribosomal RNA (2281 nucleotides) under Acinetobacter baumannii. Its description in RNAcentral is "partial 23S ribosomal RNA". It matches the Rfam family "Bacterial large subunit ribosomal RNA", at positions 1 to 2311 of the family's 2925-position model. The record is from RNAcentral. Lineage: Bacteria; Pseudomonadati; Pseudomonadota; Gammaproteobacteria; Moraxellales; Moraxellaceae.